UUUGAGUAAGUUGUUAAACUUAUUUCCAUUGGACGAAUACUGACCUAGAUAAUAAUUUUUUUCUGCGCAUGCGCAUACGUUUAUCUACAGUCUCAGUCCUUCAUACUAUCACUAUCAUUGCCAGUAGCAAGUCGAUUUGAAUAUACUCUAAAAAUUUUUUUUUUUUUUUUGCAUUAAAUAAAAACCGUAAUCAAAAUGGUCAGAAACAUUUUUCAUUUUGAUAAAAUGAAACGCUUUAAUUCACUAAAAAGGAUUCGUUCUACGAAACGUAAAGAGUCAAAUGAUUAUAGCGUAGCUGUUGAUCUUCUAGAGCCUGCAACUGAAGUGACCAACAGCCAUGAAAAAUCACAGGACUAUUUUAUAUCAGAACACAAGUUCUUCAGGUACAAAACCUGAGAUGUGGCUACAACGACUGGAUCCUUUAUGCUGGUGUUCAUGACAACAUCUUGCCUUUUCUACUAGCUGCAGUUUCAUGUGGACAAAGUGGGUGCUAUAACAUAUCAAUGUAUUUAAAGCAUGCCUGUAUAGUUUAAAGAAAACAUACUCAAAAUGGCAUCUUGUAGAAAGCCUGUAAUGUGGCUGUGGUGAAGAUUCCUACUACGUGAUUGA
Physella acuta is the source of this 609-nucleotide long non-coding RNA. RefSeq lists it as uncharacterized. The record is from RefSeq and is a predicted model, not a curated record. Lineage: Eukaryota; Metazoa; Mollusca; Gastropoda; Physidae.